CUGCUGCCUCCCGUAGGAGUUUGGGCCGUGUCUCAGUCCCAAUGUGGCCGUCCGCCCUCUCAGGCCGGCUACUGAUCGUCGCUUUGGUAGGCCGUUACCCUGCCAACUGGCUAAUCAGACGCGGGUCCAUCGUAUACCACCUCGGUUUUUCACACUGUCCCAUGCGGAACCGUGCGCUUAUGCGGUAUUAGCACCUAUUUCUAAGUGUUAUCCCCCUGUAUACGGCAGGCUACCCACGCGUUACUCACCCGUCCGCCACUAAGUUA
RNAcentral lists this ribosomal RNA (266 nucleotides) under uncultured bacterium. Its description in RNAcentral is "partial 16S ribosomal RNA". The record is from RNAcentral.